AACGCACCUUGCGCUCCUUGGUAUUCCGAGGAGCAUGCCUGUUUGAGUGUCAUUAACAUAUCAACCCUUCCAGCUUCUUUGGAGGCUGGUUUGUGGCUUGGAUGCUGGGGGUAUCUUUGCUGGCCUCUCAAGGUCGGCUCCCCUGAAAUGCAUUAGCGGAACCGUUUGCGGGUCUGUCACUGGUGUGAUAAUUAUCUGCGCCAAAGAUGGACGUGCUCUCUGUCUGUUCAGCUUACAAUAGUCCUGUUUACUUGGACAACUUAAUUAAUGCUUGGCCUCAAAUCAGGUAGGACUACCCGCUGAACUUAA
Molecule: unclassified non-coding RNA, 309 nt
Filed under: uncultured Echinoderma
Lineage: Eukaryota; Fungi; Basidiomycota; Agaricomycetes; Agaricales; Agaricaceae
Description: sequence contains ITS2
Rfam family: 5.8S ribosomal RNA (bases 1-52)
Source: RNAcentral